AUAUGGCGUUGGACUAUGAGGUUGUUAUUUGAAUAUCUGUCGGUAUUAGAAACAGUUGGAAGCAGAUUUAAGACCAAAGGUGUGAAAUUUGUUUUGAGACGAUGGCACAUUUAUCUACUACUUUAUUCCUGUUUGCAACUUGUCUGGUUCUACUUCUGGUGACGUUACCAGCAGCUCGUACUGAAGAUGACGAUAUGAUACCUGAAGAACAGGCUUUCUGGGAUCAACUAUUCCGAACCCCGAAUAAAAGACAGCUUUGUCGUCCUGGUUUCACCUUUAACCCCGUUAUUAGGAACUGUACACCUUCACUUGGUAUUUUACGGGGGCGUGGAAGACGAUUUUAAACAGACUAAGCAAACAUUCUUCAACCAAACAGCGGAUACUACCAUUAAAUUGAAUUCUCGUUCCCAUUAGAACGAUCUCUCGUUUUAUUUCACACAUUUCAGUUAUUUACGUAUUUUCAUGAUCAACCCAAUUUCUGAUUCAAAUAAUACGACAGUACCUAAAAUCAAAUUAAAAUGAAACCUAUUUCAAAUAUCGAUAUUUUUUAUUCGGUUAGAAUGCAGAUGUUUCUUCUUAUUAUUUUAUAUACACGUGUUUUUUAAAUUAUAAAAUGUAAAUCAACCAAUGGUUCUAGAAAUAAAAAAACCGUUUAACCA
Molecule: long non-coding RNA, 659 nt
Organism: Patella vulgata (common limpet)
Lineage: Eukaryota; Metazoa; Mollusca; Gastropoda; Patellidae
Exons: 3
Source: RefSeq, a predicted model, not a curated record